CUUUCAUUUGCAGGCUGUUUUAUGGUCAUGAACAGAGAUCAGCGAGUCACGAGGCUAAGGUAGAGGCACGCAAUAGCCAGAUACCGCCUCAACGUUGUAGUUGCUGCUAUGGUUAUAAUUGAGGAAUUUGAAGAACCACAGCGACGUUAAAGACGAUGGUGGGUCAAGCCUUGGAUUCAGAGACCAUCCCUCUACGGGCAAUACGAAACCCCUUUUGCAUGAAUUGCGUCUCGAGAACCCGGCCGAUUUCGAAGCUUAUUUGCGUCUCAAGACAGAGUUGUUUCAAGAACUAUGUACAAGAGUCGGGCCUCGCAUUCAAAUUAAUCAAGAUAGACGGCCUCCCCUGGGCAUUGGCAUAAAGCUGGCCAUCACAUUUCGCUUGUUGGCCACAGGCAACUCUUACCAUUCACUGGCGUUUGACUUUAUUUUUGACUGGGCAAUUGCUUCAGCUUAAUGAUUUAUAUGUGGCUGCGAUGGCUCUUCUUUCUCCUGGUCAUGCUGUCCAUCAUUGGGCUGACCUUCUGUUUUAGGAGGUAGCAUUUGCCGUGCUGCGACCUUUCUCUUCGGCAUCUUGACUUUAAAAUUGAGGUGUUUGGCGCUGAAUCUACCCACGUGAUCUGUCCACGUGCAUUUACCGGAAUCCUUCGGUCUCCUCACGAGCUCCGUCCGGUGUCUGUCAGUCAUCGUGCGGAGGCCCUCCGGCAAUCGGACGGUCGCCGGCCGAUGUAUAUGUCCCUGUGAAAUAUCUUGAUUUUUGCCGAUACGCGUACGAUGAAUCCGAUGUCGGAUGAUCGCCGGGCGAUAACCGUGCGUUGAUCGUCCGAUCUUUUUACGAUCUCAAUACGAUACCUUCCCGGGCCCGAAGUCGGGUAAAAUUUUAAGUGAGACUUAAAAUUAAUUCGGACGCCGCCCGAUGCCACAAAAUGACCCGAUGCCCGUGCGAUCAUCGCCCGGUCGCCAGCCAAAUGAGCGGAAAAAGACGUCGGCCGCUGAUCGGACGGCGAUCUGUCUCUAUUUGUGACUGAGGUAUAAGCAGUCAAUCAGUUCAAAAUACAAUUCGACCAUUAGAAUACCAAAUAUUGAAGCUGUUUGUUUUAGAGACCUAUACAAUUUAUUCUAUAUGACUUUAAAAGAGGAAAGCGAAGGCUAAUACGGGGCAUUUGCAUUUUGAGAAAACAUUUUAUUUUAAUAGUAUUUGUUAACUGAUUGCUUAAGACAUGUGUUUCUUAACAUAAAUAAUAAGUAAAUACAAAGAUGAAAAAUGGA
Molecule: long non-coding RNA, 1266 nt
Organism: Dreissena polymorpha
Lineage: Eukaryota; Metazoa; Mollusca; Bivalvia; Myida; Dreissenidae
Exons: 2
Source: RefSeq, a predicted model, not a curated record